Ficedula albicollis (Collared flycatcher) is the source of this 215-nucleotide long non-coding RNA. RefSeq lists it as uncharacterized. The transcript has 3 exons. Lineage: Eukaryota; Metazoa; Chordata; Aves; Passeriformes; Muscicapidae. The record is from RefSeq and is a predicted model, not a curated record.
UUCUGGAUCCUCCCUGUGCUCUCAGAUUUGCUUCCAUUUGCAUUGCCCAGCUGGAGAUAAGGUUAAAAAGAAGACUUAUACUUGGUGUGGUGUAGUGCCAUCGUGUGGAUCCAGGAUGGGUGGAGGCAGAAAACUGGCUUGAAAGACAGAAGCAGGUGUGGGGUGCACUGUGCCUGAGAUUUCAUAUGAGUGAGUCUGCUUGAUGACUAGUACAU